AUGAAGAACGUAGCGAAAUGCGAUACGUAAUGUGAAUUGCAGAAUUCAGUGAAUCAUCGAGUCUUUGAACGCACAUUGCGCCCCCUGGUAUUCCGGGGGGCAUGCCUGUCCGAGCGUCAUUGCUGCCCUCAAGCCCGGCUUGUGUGUUGGGUCUCGUCCCCCUUCCCGGGGGGACGGGCCCGAAAGGCAGCGGCGGCACCGUGUCCGGUCCUCGAGCGUAUGGGGCUUUGUCACCCGCUCUGUAGGCCCGGCCGGCGCUUGCCGAUCAACCAAAACUUUUUUCCAGGUUGACCUCGGAUCAGGUAGGGAUACCCGCUGAACUUAAGCAUAUCAAUAAGCGGAGGA
RNAcentral lists this unclassified non-coding RNA (345 nucleotides) under soil metagenome. Its description in RNAcentral is "partial contains 5.8S ribosomal RNA, internal transcribed spacer 2, and large subunit ribosomal RNA". The stretch from base 1 to 119 matches the Rfam family "5.8S ribosomal RNA", at positions 36 to 154 of the family's 154-position model. The record is from RNAcentral.